Long non-coding RNA from Mercenaria mercenaria, 432 nucleotides. RefSeq lists it as uncharacterized. The transcript has 4 exons. NCBI's taxonomy places the organism in Eukaryota, Metazoa, Mollusca, Bivalvia, Venerida, Veneridae. The record is from RefSeq and is a predicted model, not a curated record.
AGAAGGCAAGGAAUACCAAUAUAUAGCAUGCCUUGUUGACUAUGACAGCAACUGUAAACAGCGAUAUAAUAUCAAGAUCCGACAAUGUGGUGUGGAAAUUCAGUAUUACUUACUUCCUACUGAUGGAAUAAGUGCCUAUUGUUUCGAACCAUCCUCUGUCACAGUUGUGGCCCCUGCACCAAUUAUAGAAUUGGCGGUCCUAUCCAGGUGAGCGUGGCAUUGAUGUAUAACCGUGCAAGCAAACGCUCCGAGCCAGAAUUGGAAUUUAAAUGUAACUUCGGAUCGGCAAAAAAUGAGUACUUCUACGGAGUGAACUGGGUUAUAAAUGGACGAAUUGAAAAGACAUUUACACCAGUGAAACUUAAAGAUGUAGACAACACCAAUUUGAAUGAAACUAUACUACGAUCACUAGGGUUUUCAUUUGGAUUAUCG